This 3453-nucleotide unclassified non-coding RNA is filed under the name Haliotis rufescens (red abalone). Its description in RNAcentral is "uncharacterized LOC124151232, transcript variant X1". Lineage: Eukaryota; Metazoa; Mollusca; Gastropoda; Lepetellida; Haliotidae. The record is from RNAcentral.
GUAGCAAGAAACAGGUUGGAAAUGUUCAUCACUUGCUGAAAUCCACCACGCCACCAAUUAUAGCGAAUCCGGUAUUCGAACUAUGACAAGCGAUCCUGACAGCAAAGAUCGAAACUGCACAGCGAACUGGAACUCCUUCAGACUUUGGCCCACCCGUACCCCAACUGUUGGAGGACAACUGACGAGCUUACAAUGUGCAUGAAACUAGCAGGUGUUGUUUACCUGUCAGUAUUUAUAUUCGGGGGAAAUUUCAGGGAAUUCAAUCCGGGAAGUAGUAUAUAGAUUGUAAGGUCUAAAGAUAGCUGAUAAUGUGACACCAUGAACCAGGAAGGAAUCUGCAAGAUAUAGACAUUCACAUUUAAAAGCGCAGUUCAUAUAUGCAGGUGAUUUCUCAACGGUGAAGAGACUUUAUAACGUGCAGUUCGUUCAGUGGUGCUUCAUAUUAACAAAUAUCGAUGAAACUCGUUGGUUCUGAUUGGAGGGUACCUAGUGAAGCCGUCUUUAAUUAACACAAGUCCGGAGUGUGGAAUCAGAGUUUGGCGUUAUUGGCAUUUAAUGGUGAACUCCUUUUGGUCAAUAACUUGAUGCUUCAUCGACCUGGACUAUCCGUACAAUUCUUUAAGCUUAAAACACGUCAGGUGUCUCAGGAACUAGUUUAAUUUUUAAGUCACUUACAAAAGAGACGUCACCAUUUUGACAAGGCACCGGAAGACAUAUAUCGGACCAUCACUGGAACUUUGACUUGACCUUGCACGGGGCCUUGCGCGUGUCCCAAGCUGAAGCGUUUUAAAAGCAUGGCUGAGGGCACCGUAUAUCAGCAAAAUGACCAGUUGUGUAAGGAGAUCAAGGACAAAUUUCACGAACAGCUCAAGACAAACACACAGUACCUGUCCCAACUGAAGGAACGACACAUAAUGAGAUAUGGGGCGGCGGUUCCAGUUAAAGCUACCCUCUCCAAGAUUUCUAAGAUGCCAAAAAUGGUUGAAGAUAUCGUCAAAGAACUCCACCAGACAAAUAAAGAAAUUUCCGACCUUAUGGGGAAACUUCCUGUUGAAGAGACAGCAUCUGUGGAACUCAGAGAUUCAGCAUAUUCAGGCAGUAGCGGUAUACCUAGCUGGCAGGGCAGUCCAGAUGAAGGCUUGAUUGAGGCUGUGCAAGAGGAGGCCAAUGGAGAUGCUGGGUACGUGCCGAUGCGACCUGAGAGUGUAUGCUUUGUGGAACGGCAAGGAGCAGCCUCCCAAACCCCACGACGGGAUAGGGGCACACGACAGGCCGUGGAAGACCCAGAUGUCGCGGAGGAAAAACCCUCUACCUAGACCGGCGUCUCACUGUCAGAUCGGUUAGAUACCAACAAUAGUGCACGUGAAUGCUUGUUUGAAUUACAGCUGUGUGUUAUAUAAAGUUUUAUAUCCCAGAUGCUAAAUUCAUCAUGAUUUUCAGUGCUAAUUUGCCUUACAUGGAUUUUGUUUCGAUGGAUAAUCGAGACUGGUUAUUCUCUGGCGUUGUCGUUAUAAAUUACAAUACAUCAUAACUUCGUCCAUUUAGUUCAAGUAUAGAUUUUAUUAGUUAAUCAUCAAGCCAUGCAACAAAAUCACCGUUUUCAAUAUUGUUUUCACUGACUGUUGCUUCUGACAGUGGGUGCACACUAAUCUGACACUGUGUGAGUGAGAGAAUGAGAAUUAUUUUACGCCGCUCGUAUUGCCAAAGACAACAUACCGGACGUUUUGCAGAUGUCUACGUGUCAAAGUCAGACCUUGAAGGUGAUAGGCAAAUGUGACAUGACGUAAUUAUAGAAUAACCCACAGGGUAUGAAUGCUUAUGGAAAAAAUGUCACGAGUCAAAUUAAUUCUUAAAGUUCCGAGUUUUAGCAAAAGAGCCCUCCCCCUCUUCACUGUCUCCGACUCUCUGCCUCAGCACAGGAUUUCCCUCUCUCAUAAAUUUUCUAGCAAAACUAGAAUCUGCUUAACUGAACAACUUUCCUCGUCUCCAUUUCCUCGUGGAUACUGAUCAUAAUCAUGUUUAUAUGUGAAUCAUACUCUGGAUAUGAUGCACAUUUAUGUAAAUUAUCAAUACUCACAAUAGUUAAGGAAGAGCAUAUUUAAAAUGUGAGCGUCGUUCAAUACCGGAAAAGGCCGAAUACACCCGAGAGUACCAACUGCAGCCAAGUGAACAUCAAAACAGAGACCAUGUACCGGUAUAUGACCUCUGAUAAAACAAUGUGCAAUCAAGGUGAUGUGUUCGACUAAUUAUUGUAAUUGUAUUAUUGUUGUCGUGUGGUAUGAACGAGAUUUGGAAGAGAUAGCAUGUGACAUGUGAUAACCCAACUGUUACAAACGGUUUAACCUCGGUUUGCCGGCACCCUGAAUGUUAUGAUAAGCGAUUAAAUGUGCCGGCAAUUUAGAUGUUUAUCUAAAGGAUAGGAAAGAGGACCGCAAUGUGGGUAGCGGUAUUGAGAGGGAAAAUCAGGGCUCAAGUCACCAACAGAAUAUGCUGAUUCUGUGGCAAGAUUUAUUGGUUUGUGAGUUAAAAUGUAUGUGAAGUGUAAAUAAUUAAUUUAAUUUCUGACUUUAAGUUUAUAUAUUUUGUAUGUAUGAACACAUGUAUGAUUUACAAUGUAUGCUGUAUGUACAUGAGAAAUAAAAUAACGAAAGUCAUGUUGUCCCCCCCCUCAGUAUAAAGUCUCCCCCCUGAUUAUUCGGUUUGUUGCAAUGUCUUUUAGUAAAGACAAACCGAGCAAACGAGGUGUCCCCGUUACAAACACCCAUUGUAAUUAUGCCACAGAGUGGUAUAUGUUUAAUGGGGAAAGUCUUUGUAGAGGAAAGUCUAAAGCGACACAGGCCGCAGAUGUUUACAUGUAUGGUGAAGCACCGACAUGUUCCUGACAGAUAAAAAAUAAAUUUAAACAAAUCGGGGCAAAUUUGGGGUUCGCACGUAAAAACCUUACUAACACGUGGUCAUUAGGGCGCGAUGUAAUGUGGUGCCUAGCCUGUCUCACAGUCCCUUAAGCAUAUUAUUUUUCCGUCCGCCCAUCCCAUUCUGUAAUGCAAAAGCCCUAAAUGAAACAAGUAUAGAUAUUCCUCAUGUUCUGAAUUACCCAUCUCACUGGGGCUCCUUUUCAAUUUGAAGUGAAUUAUUUGUUUCUAUGAGACUGAGUGUUAGUCUAUCCCCUACCUAAUGAACACAGUUACCCCUGCCUUAAUGCGAUGGAUAGCGAAAAAGAUUCGCGCAAUUAUAUCAAUAAAAAUAUACGGUUGAUUUAAGGCACAUUUAAGUGUUAUGAUUUAAAUAUAACUGUUAUAUUUCGAAAUUGUGAAUUCUGUAAAAUCUUAUUUUAUGCCCGAAAACGUUACUAGAUAUUUAGUGUGAGCAGUAUUAAAUAUAGCCAUGUUGAUCUUCAUACCAAUGUGUCUCAGUAUGUUUAAUAAACAGUCCAUAUGGGCAUUAUUGUGAUUC